Molecule: transfer RNA, 64 nt
Filed under: Cavia porcellus (domestic guinea pig)
Lineage: Eukaryota; Metazoa; Chordata; Mammalia; Rodentia; Caviidae
Rfam family: tRNA
About the family: Transfer RNA (tRNA) molecules are approximately 80 nucleotides in length. Their secondary structure includes four short double-helical elements and three loops (D, anti-codon, and T loops).
Source: Rfam by way of RNAcentral
GAGGAUUUAGCUCAGUGGCAUAAGCACCUGCCUUACAAGCAGGCAGUCACGAGUUCAAUCCCCA